This 301-nucleotide ribosomal RNA is filed under the name uncultured bacterium. RNAcentral describes it as "partial 16S ribosomal RNA". It matches the Rfam family "Bacterial small subunit ribosomal RNA", at positions 509 to 809 of the family's 1533-position model. The record is from RNAcentral.
CAGUAGCCACGGUAAUACGAAGGGUGCAAGCGUUAAUCGGAAUUACUGGGCGUAAAGCGUGCGUAGGCGGUUUGUUAAGUCUGUUGUGAAAUCCCCGGGCUCAACCUGGGAAUGGCAAUGGAUACUGGCAAGCUAGAGUGUGUCAGAGGAUGGUGGAAUUCCCGGUGUAGCGGUGAAAUGCGUAGGGAUCGGGAGGAACAUCAGUGGCGAAGGCGGCCAUCUGGAACAACACUGACGCUGAGGCACGAAAGCGUGGGGAGCAAACAGGAUUAGAUACCCCAGUAGUCCCUGUCUCUUAUAA